GAUGAACGCUGGCGGCGUGCCUAAUACAUGCAAGUCGAGCGAACAGACGAGGAGCUUGCUCCUCUGACGUUAGCGGCGGACGGGUGAGUAACACGUGGAUAACCUACCUAUAAGACUGGGAUAACUUCGGGAAACCGGAGCUAAUACCGGAUAAUAUAUUGAACCGCAUGGUUCAAUAGUGAAAGACGGUUUUGCUGUCACUUAUAGAUGGAUCCGCGCCGCAUUAGCUAGUUGGUAAGGUAACGGCUUACCAAGGCAACGAUGCGUAGCCGACCUGAGAGGGUGAUCGGCCACACUGGAACUGAGACAGGGUCCAGACUCCUACAGGAGGCCGCAGUAGGGAAUCUUCCGCAAUGGGCGAGAGCUUGACGGAGCAACACCGCGUAAGUGAUGAAGGUCUUCGGAUCGUAAAACUCUGUUAUUAGUGGAGAACAAAUGUGUAAGUAACUAUGCACGUCUUGACGGUACCUAAUCAGAAAGCCACGGCUAACUACGUG
Molecule: ribosomal RNA, 497 nt
Filed under: uncultured bacterium
Lineage: Bacteria
Description: partial 16S ribosomal RNA
Rfam family: Bacterial small subunit ribosomal RNA
Source: RNAcentral